RNAcentral lists this unclassified non-coding RNA (300 nucleotides) under uncultured Fusarium. RNAcentral's name for it is "sequence contains 5.8S rRNA gene, ITS2". The stretch from base 1 to 73 matches the Rfam family "5.8S ribosomal RNA", at positions 82 to 154 of the family's 154-position model. Lineage: Eukaryota; Fungi; Ascomycota; Sordariomycetes; Hypocreales; Nectriaceae. The record is from RNAcentral.
GUGUGAGUCAUCGAAUCUUUGAACGCACAUUGCGCCCGCCAGUAUUCUGGCGGGCAUGCCUGUUCGAGCGUCAUUUCAACCCUCAAGCCCUCGGGUUUGGUGUUGGGGAUCGGCGAGCCUUUCUGGCAAGCCGGCCCCGAAAUCUAGUGGCGGUCUCGCUGCAGCCUCCAUUGCGUAGUAGUAAAACCCUCGCAACUGGAACGCGGCGCGGCCAAGCCGUUAAACCCCCAACUUCUGAAUGUUGACCUCGGAUCAGGUAGGAAUACCCGCUGAACUUAAGCAUAUCAAUAAGCGGAGGAC